RNAcentral lists this ribosomal RNA (208 nucleotides) under uncultured bacterium. RNAcentral describes it as "partial 16S ribosomal RNA". It matches the Rfam family "Bacterial small subunit ribosomal RNA", at positions 143 to 334 of the family's 1533-position model. The record is from RNAcentral.
ACAACAGUUGGAAACGACUGCUAAUACCGCAUACGAUCUAAUCUCGGCAUCGAGGAUAGAUGAAAAGGUGGCCUCUACAUGUAAGCUAUCACUGAAGGAGGGGAUUGCGUCUGAUUAGCUAGUUGGAGGGGUAACGGCCCACCAAGGCGAUGAUCAGUAGCCGGUCUGAGAGGAUGAACGGCCACAUUGGGACUGAGACACGGCCCAG